This 497-nucleotide ribosomal RNA is filed under the name uncultured bacterium. Its description in RNAcentral is "partial 16S ribosomal RNA". It matches the Rfam family "Bacterial small subunit ribosomal RNA", at positions 28 to 507 of the family's 1533-position model. The record is from RNAcentral.
GAUGAACGCUGGCGGCGUGCCUAAUACAUGCAAGUCGAGCGAACAGACGAGGAGCUUGCUCCUCUGACGUUAGCGGCGGACGGGUGAGUAACACGUGGAUAACCUACCUAUAAGACUGGGAUAACUUCGGGAAACCGGAGCUAAUACCGGAUAAUAUAUUGAACCGCAUGGUUCAAUAGUGAAAGACGGUUUUGCUGUCACUUAUAGAUGGAUCCGCGCCGCAUUAGCUAGUUGGUAAGGUAACGGCUUACCAAGGCGACGAUGCGUAGCCGACCUGAGAGGGUGAUCGGCCACACUGGAACUGAGACACGGUCCAGACUCCUACGGGAGGCAGCAGUAGGGAAUCUUCCGCAAUGGGCGAAAGCUUGACGGAGCAAAGCCGCGUGAGAGAUGAAGGUCUUCGGAUCGUAAAACUCUGUUAUUAGGGAAGAACAAAUGUGUAAGUAACUAUGCACGUCUUGACGGUACCUAAUCAGAAAGCCACGGCUAACUACGUG